RNAcentral lists this small nuclear RNA (18 nucleotides) under Arabidopsis thaliana (thale cress). RNAcentral's name for it is "snRNA_01479". Lineage: Eukaryota; Viridiplantae; Streptophyta; Magnoliopsida; Brassicales; Brassicaceae. The record is from RNAcentral.
GGGCUCCCCAUUCGACCC